Molecule: ribosomal RNA, 216 nt
Filed under: Gnamptogenys interrupta
Lineage: Eukaryota; Metazoa; Arthropoda; Insecta; Hymenoptera; Formicidae
Description: partial large subunit ribosomal RNA
Source: RNAcentral
GAAUUUAAUAAAAUUUUUUUUAAUUUUUAAAAUAAUUUUAAAAAUAUUUUAAGAAAUUUAUAUUUAAUUGGGAGGAUUGUUAAAUUAACUAAACUUUAUUUAUUAAUUAAUACAAAAAUGUUUGAAUUUAUGAUUUAAUGAUAAAUAUAAGAAUUAAUUACCUUAGGGAUAACAGCGUAAAAUUUUUGGAAAGUUCAUAUUAAUAAAAGUGUUUGC